AAUUGGAGGGCAAGUCUGGUGCCAGCAGCCGCGGUAAUUCCAGCUCCAAUAGCGUAUAUUAAAGUUGUUGCAGUUAAAAAGCUCGUAGUUGAAUUUCGGGGUUAGUAGGUUGGUCAUGCCUCUGGUAUGUACUGAUCUCACUGAUUCCUCCUUCCUUAUGAACCGUAAUGCCAUUAAUUUGGUGUUGCGGGGAAUUUGGACUGUUACUUUGAAAAAAUUAGAGUGUUUAAAGCAGGCUAACGCUUGAAUACAUUAGCAUGGAAUAAUGAAAUAGGACGUUCGAUCUUAUUUUGUUGGUUUCUAGGAUUGACGUAAUGAUUAAUAGGGAUAGUUGGGGGCAUUAGUAUUCAAUUGUCAGAGGUGAAAUUCUUGGAUUUAUUGAAGACUAACUACUGCGAAAGCAUUUGCCAAGGAUGUUUUCAUUAAUCAAGAACGUAAGUUAGGGGAUCGAAGACGAUCAGAUACCGUCGUAGUCUUAACCAUAAACUAUGCCGACUAGGGAUCGGAUGAUGUUAAUUUUUUAAUGACUCAUUCGGCGCCUUACGGGAAACCAAAGUGU
This 559-nucleotide ribosomal RNA is filed under the name uncultured Glomus. RNAcentral's name for it is "SSU rRNA". It matches the Rfam family "Eukaryotic small subunit ribosomal RNA", at positions 546 to 1106 of the family's 1831-position model. The record is from RNAcentral. Lineage: Eukaryota; Fungi; Glomeromycota; Glomeromycetes; Glomerales; Glomeraceae.